This 793-nucleotide ribosomal RNA is filed under the name uncultured cyanobacterium. RNAcentral's name for it is "bacterial SSU rRNA". It matches the Rfam family "Bacterial small subunit ribosomal RNA", at positions 35 to 874 of the family's 1533-position model. The record is from RNAcentral. Lineage: Bacteria; Bacillati; Cyanobacteriota.
GCUGGCGGCGUGCUUAACACAUGCAAGUCGAACGAACCUUCGGGUUAGUGGCGGACGGGUGAGUAACGCGUGGGAAUCUGCCCUCAGGAGGGGGAUAACGGUUGGAAACGACCGCUAAUACCCCAUAUGCCGAGAGGUGAAAUGAAUUUCGCCUGAGGAUGAGCCCGCGUCUGAUUAGCUAGUUGGUGAGGUAAUGGCUCACCAAGGCAUCGAUCAGUAGCUGGUCUGAGAGGAUGAUCAGCCACACUGGGACUGAGACACGGCCCAGACUCCUACGGGAGGCAGCAGUGGGGAAUUUUCCGCAAUGGGCGCAAGCCUGACGGAGCAACGCCGCGUGAGGGAUGAAGGCCUCUGGGCUGUAAACCUCUUUUCUCAAGGAAGAAGAUCUGACGGUACUUGAGGAAUAAGCCACGGCUAAUUCCGUGCCAGCAGCCGCGGUAAUACGGGAGUGGCAAGCGUUAUCCGGAAUUAUUGGGCGUAAAGCGUCCGCAGGCGGCUUUUCAAGUCUGCUGUUAAAACGUGGAGCUUAACUCCAUCAAGGCAGUGGAAACUGAUUGGCUUGAGUGUGGUAGGGGCAGAGGGAAUUCCCGGUGUAGCGGUGAAAUGCGUAGAUAUCGGGAAGAACACCAGUGGCGAAGGCGCUCUGCUGGGCCAUAACUGACGCUCAUGGACGAAAGCCAGGGGAGCGAAAGGGAUUAGAUACCCCUGUAGUCCUGGCCGUAAACGAUGAACACUAGGUGUCGGGGGAAUCGACCCCCUCGGUGUCGUAGCCAACGCGUUAAGUGUUCCGCCU